This 69-nucleotide transfer RNA is filed under the name Ictidomys tridecemlineatus (thirteen-lined ground squirrel). RNAcentral's name for it is "Spermophilus tridecemlineatus (thirteen-lined ground squirrel) tRNA". It matches the Rfam family "tRNA". Rfam says of the family: Transfer RNA (tRNA) molecules are approximately 80 nucleotides in length. Their secondary structure includes four short double-helical elements and three loops (D, anti-codon, and T loops). Lineage: Eukaryota; Metazoa; Chordata; Mammalia; Rodentia; Sciuridae. The record is from Rfam by way of RNAcentral.
GGGGUUGUGGCUCAGUGGUGGAGCGUUUGCCUAGCAUGUGUGAAGCCCUGGGUUCAAUUCUCAGCACCA